RNAcentral lists this ribosomal RNA (601 nucleotides) under Corollospora sp. ATCC MYA-3582. Its description in RNAcentral is "eukaryotic LSU rRNA". It matches the Rfam family "Eukaryotic large subunit ribosomal RNA", at positions 35 to 658 of the family's 3401-position model. The record is from RNAcentral. Lineage: Eukaryota; Fungi; Ascomycota; Sordariomycetes; Microascales; Halosphaeriaceae.
UAAGCAUAUCAAUAAGCGGAGGAAAAGAAACCAACAGGGAUUGCCUCAGUAACGGCGAGUGAAGCGGCAACAGCUCAAAUUUGAAAUCUGGCCCCCCCGCGGGGGUCCGAGUUGUAGUUUGCAGAGGAUGCUUUGGGCGAGGCGCCUUCCGAGUGCCCUGGAACGGGACGCCGCAGAGGGUGAGAGCCCCCUACGGUCGGCCGCCGAGCCCGUGUAAAGCUCCCUCGACGAGUCGAGUAGUUUGGGAAUGCUGCUCCAAACGGGAGGUACACCCCUUCUAAAGCUAAAUACCCGCCAGAGACCGAUAGCGCACAAGUAGAGUGAUCGAAAGAUGAAAAGCACUUUGAAAAGAGAGUCAAACAGCACGUGAAAUUGUUGAAAGGGAAGCGCUCGUGGCCAGACUCGGGCCCGGCGGCUCAGCCGUCCCUCGCGGGCGGCGCACUCUGCCGGGCCUGGGCCAGCAUCAGCUCGCGGCGGGGGAGAAAGGCGGCGGGAACGUGGCUCUUCGGAGUGUUAUAGCCCGCCGCCAUGCCCCGCCGCGGGCUGAGGUUCGCGCCCCGCAAGGAUGCUGGCGUAAUGGCCACCAGCGACCCGUCUUGAA